This is an RNA transcript of Arachis stenosperma, 2173 nucleotides long. It is a transcript of the gene named lysM domain receptor-like kinase 3, with no coding region annotated. The transcript has 8 exons. Lineage: Eukaryota; Viridiplantae; Streptophyta; Magnoliopsida; Fabales; Fabaceae. The record is from RefSeq and is a predicted model, not a curated record.
AUUUCUGCUUGUUUAUGGGAAUUUUUUUGUGGAAGUUUUAGAAAACCUCCGUAACAUAUUUUAUUUAUGGCAAAAUAUAAAACUCCCAUUAAUUAAAACUAGUUUAAAUUUCUAAGCCCAAUUUUCUAAACCAAUAACCAGUCUCUAACCUAUUCUGAUUAAGCCCAAACAAAUUUAACUCCAAACAAAAACUUGACCAAAAAAAUUGGAAGAGGAAGAAGAGGGAGAAUGAAACCCUAGCAGAUUUACUCGCCAUCGCAGUAUUCAUCUCUUCGCCAUUGUCAUAAUCAAACUCGCCGUAGCGCUGAGAUCGAGGGAGAGUAACCAGCGACGCCCGCGACGCCAUUCUUGCCGAGGUCCAGGAGCAGGUUUCUAUCCUCAACUCCACUUUCUCAUGGAAGGAGUCAGAUCGAGCCGCCGCCAAGUGCGCCACUCACGCGCUUGCCGAUCUCGCCAAAACGAGGAAGUGGUGAACGUGAUUGUUGAAGGAGGAGCUAUUCCUUCGGCGCGUCUCCUGAGAUCACUUCACGUUGAAAUAGACAUAUGGAUAAGCAGAAUGAGAUCCUUAUGGAAGCCUACAGAUCAAUGCUCCAUGAAUUGCAAAAACUUCAGGGCGAAGAAGAAAUGCUUAUGCACAAGCUCUAUGAUGUUAUGUCAGCUCAUGGUCUAACCAAAAAGGAUGUUCUGAUGUAUACUGCUGACUAGCGUAACAUUCAUUAUGUUGAUGAGGUCUAGCUAAAGGUGUUGCUGUUGGAAUAUCUAUAGCUGGAACAAGUUGGGUUCUGCCAUUAUUAAUUUGUGCUUGUGUUAGAUAAUUCCAGAAGGAAAAAGAAAAAAUUAAAUUACCAACAGAAGAUUUUAUAUCAAGUUCAACCCAAGAUGCAUCUAGCAGUGGUGAAUAUGAAACUUUAGGAUCCCCAGCUGCUAGUGCUUCUGGCCUUCCGACAAUUAUGGCAGGAAAAUCAAUGGAAUUCUCUUAUCAAGAACUAGCCAAGGCUACAAAUAACUUCAGCUCUGAUAACAAAAUUGGUCAGGAUAGAUUCAGAGCUGUCUAUUUUGCAGAAUUGAGAGGCCAAAAAGCAGCAAUUAAGAAGAUCAAUGUUCAAGGAUCAACAGAGUUUCUUUCAGAGUUGAAGGUCUUAAAACAUGUUCAUCACUUGAAUCUGGUAACUACUUUCUUCUACACCAAAAGGUCAAGUUUCUAUGGCAUUCAGUGAAUCUCAACUUGACUCUGAACAAUUUAGGUGCAUUUAAUUGGAUACAUGCCUCCAGUGUAAGAACUUAGUUGUUAAUUGUCUUAGAACAUAACAAUAAAUAUUAGAAAAUAUAAAAUAAGUCAACGAAAGUUGUGAUUGAUCAAUUUAUAGAUUCUGAAUGUCUAAGAACUUGGUUUGACAUGACUGAAUUAUAGAUUCUUGGGUUGGGCAUAAUGUGAGACGUGAGUGUUAUCUCUACUUUAGUGACAUCUAUUUUUCCAUUCUUGAUUAUGAUAUCUUCCUUUAAUUUUAGUCAUCUCUACUUUGUAUAUUAAUGAUAUUUUGCACCCAAUUUAAUGUUAUCUCUACUUUAGUGGAUCAGAAUGCUUCAACCAGCUAAAGGUUGUUAUGGCCGCAGCACCAACAGUAAGUUUUACUCUCGUCAUUAUGAUCUUGUGUUAUCAGAAUGUUAACUUCAUAUUAUGUUUCUAUACAGAUUGAACUUAUCCAUAGAGUUUGCGAUUUGGAUGAUGAAAGACAAAGUAGAAAACAUAGAUACCUUCAAGCAUAUAGGAAUGGAGAAGGUGCUGGAAGGUGUAUUAGAAACCACAUCAGAGCUUGAAAGCUUCAAUGUUUUCUCUGGUACUGUUGGAUUGAACAGGCACAAUCUAACAAUUCACUCACUGGUUGAGACAGUCUUCAAGUUGCUGGAAAACAGGUGAAGUAAUUCAUCACUUUUGAACCAUAUUGUAAAAUCAAUAAUCUAUGUUAACCUUGAGCAAAAAUUGUAAAUUUGUAACACUGUACACUGUUGUUUGUUUUGUAUAAAUGUGUAUUAUAUAUCCCACAUUAGUUUUUAUUUUGGUUUUUGGUUCUGAUGGUUAUUUAUUUAUAUUUCCCUUUAGAUUUUGAUUCUUCAGUCGAGGAAUCAAUUCUUUAUUGAUUUGUAACAGCAAGGACCAAUUAUAUAUUAAUGA